GUCACUGUGGAGGCUGAUAGGAGCUAGGAGCCAGGCAGCCAGUCCCAGGUCACCGUGGAGGCUGGUAGGAGCUAGGAGCCAUGCCGCCAGUCACUGUGGAGGCUGGUAGGAGCUAGGAGCCAGGCAGCCUGUCCCAGGUCACUGUGGAGGCUGGUAGGAGCUAGGAGCCAGGCAGCCAGUCACUGUGGAGGCUGGUAGGAGCUAGGAGCCAGGCAGCCAGUCCCAGGUCACUGUAGAGGCUGGUAGGAGCCAGGCAGCCAGUUCCAGGUCACUGUAGAGAACUGUUGGAGCUAGGAGCCAGGCAGCCAUCCCCAGGUCACUGUAGAGGCUGGUUGGAGCUAGGAGCCAGGCAGCCAGCCCCAGGUCACUG
Molecule: long non-coding RNA, 370 nt
Organism: Oncorhynchus tshawytscha (Chinook salmon)
Lineage: Eukaryota; Metazoa; Chordata; Actinopteri; Salmoniformes; Salmonidae
Source: Ensembl